GGCUGACCAGCUGUUGCAGUGGACCCAUAACGUACAGAUUGGGAAAUCAGACUAGCUUGCAAUGGAGAAAUAAAACUAACUCUUCCGACUCCAUACUUAAAGUUUGACAUCUGAAAAAAGUCAUGUUUGAGAAAACCAACUGGUAAAGGUUUUGAUAGCUCAUCCUUGGUGACUCGAGAUAAACCUCCUUCCUGUCCACCAUCAGUAUCUUCAGAUGAAUGAAUUGAAAAUCCAACCAAGCUUGAUCGUUCAAAGUAAUUAGACGCAGUAGUGUGCCCAUACUCAAAACUAGGCAAUCCCCGAGUCAAGUAAGUAGGUCGAUUUAGAUAAUUGCAGAGGAAAUUCUUCCUCCGCAAGAUUGCUCUCGAAGUCAUUAUCAAAAUUAUCAGCCUCUUUGCAGACAAAAGCUGUAACGUAACUCAUACAGCCACCUGUUUUUGCCAGUCUGCAGCAAUGGUAUAACCCUCAUCACUGACUAUUUAAGGAGGCCUACGUAUUAUAAGUAAUUAUAUUCAAUGGCAUCUCAAGAUUCACCACAAUUAGCUACUCUCCAUUCAGUCACUGAUGGAAAAGGACUAUGAAUAAGCUUGCUACCUUUCUCUCUCCUUUUUUUUUUUUUUGAAUCAGUAAAUUGGAUUUGAUGGAAUUGUGAAACUUUCUGCUAAACAUACGUUUUGGCAACAUGUUGGGAAAUAACUUGAGGAAUACUGGAAGCAAGAACUCCAUGAAAGGAACUAUAAUAAAAACAGCAACUGGAACCAGCCUAAAAAUAUCAGCAGUGGUCCUAGUGAGUUGUUGCCUCUCCCUUCUAGAAAGACCCUUCCCAUUGACUAGCUUCAACAAUAACCUUGAGCUUAUCCUAAUAUCUGCCCAGAGUAAUUUUGUACCUAACCAAUAGUGCUGCAUGGUAGAUUUGAAUUCAUCCUUCCAAUGGCGGAGUUUCACAGCCCAGUCUUCCCUGAAAGAUGACAUAGAAUGUAAAAAAGUGUUAGACGGCUUAUAAAAGCAUAAAUCUAAUGUAAUUAGAACUUGAACAGCAAAGUCUGAACCUGCUCAUAGAAGCAACAGCUCUCAAAGCAGGACCAAUACCCAGUAGUGCAGCCCAUACUCUCUGCACUACAGAUUUAGCACUCUUUUGAAUGUCUUGCAUCUGCUUAGCUUUUGCUGUUGCUUUUGCUUUUACUGUACUCAAACCUUCAACAGCUUGGUCACAGUCCUCUGGUGAAGCUUCUUUUAUCUGUUUAGUGGCCAGCUGCUCAUUUCUGUCCCUUUCAGGCUGACCAGCUGUUGCAGUGGACCCAUAACGUACAGAUUGGGAAAUCAGACUAGCUUGCAAUGGAGAAAUAAAACUAACUCUUCCGACUCCAUACUUAAAGUUUGACAUCUGAAAAAAGUCAUGUUUGAGAAAACCAACUGGUAAAGGUUUUGAUAGCUCAUCCUUGGUGACUCGAGAUAAACCUCCUUCCUGUCCACCAUCAGUAUCUUCAGAUGAAUGAAUUGAAAAUCCAACCAAGCUUGAUCGUUCAAAGUAAUUAGACGCAGUAGUGUGCCCAUACUCAAAACUAGGCAAUCCCCGAGUCAAGUAAGUAGGUCGAUUUAGAUAAUUGCAGAGGAAAUUCUUCCUCCGCAAGAUUGCUCUCGAAGUCAUUAUCAAAAUUAUCAGCCUCUUUGCAGACAAAAGCUGUAACGUAACUCAUACAGCCACCUGUUUUUGCCAGUCUGCAGCAAUGGUAUAACCC
Molecule: long non-coding RNA, 1739 nt
Filed under: Citrus sinensis (sweet orange)
Lineage: Eukaryota; Viridiplantae; Streptophyta; Magnoliopsida; Sapindales; Rutaceae
Description: long non-coding RNA (CSIN_LNC000642)
Source: RNAcentral